This 216-nucleotide unclassified non-coding RNA is filed under the name soil metagenome. RNAcentral describes it as "partial contains 5.8S ribosomal RNA, internal transcribed spacer 2, and large subunit ribosomal RNA". The record is from RNAcentral.
AACUGAUACUACCUGCGGGAACCUGCGGAGGGAUCAUUAUCGAGUUUACAACUCCCAAACCAUUGUGAAUCUUACCUUUUCGUUGCUUCGGCGGGAUCGCCCCGGGCGCUUCGGUGCCCCGGAUUCAGGCGCCCGCCGGGGGACCUAAACUCUUGUAUUAUAGUGGAUUUCUGAGUGGAUUACACAAAUAAUCAAAACUUUCAGCAACGGAUCUCU